Molecule: ribosomal RNA, 467 nt
Filed under: uncultured bacterium
Lineage: Bacteria
Description: partial 16S ribosomal RNA
Rfam family: Bacterial small subunit ribosomal RNA
Source: RNAcentral
GACGAACGCUGGCGGCGUGCUUAACACAUGCAAGUCGAACGGAAAGGCUCCUGCUUGCAGGGGUACUCGAGUGGCGAACGGGUGAGUAACACGUGGGUGAUCUGCCUUGUACUCUGGGAUAAGCUUGGGAAACUGGGUCUAAUACCGGAUAAUAACUGCCUUUAGUGUGGUGGUUGGAAAGUUUUUUCGGUGCAAGAUGAGCUCGCGGCCUAUCAGCUUGUUGGUGGGGUAAUGGCCUACCAAGGCGUCGACGGGUAGCCGGCCUGAGAGGGUGUACGGCCACAUUGGGACUGAGAUACGGCCCAGACUCCUACGGGAGGCAGCAGUGGGGAAUAUUGCACAAUGGGCGGAAGCCUGAUGCAGCGACGCCGCGUGGGGGAGGACGGCCUUCGGGUUGUAAACUCCUUUCGACAGGGACGAAGCUUUUUGUGACGGUACCUGUAUAAGAAGCACCGGCUAACUACGUG